RNAcentral lists this transfer RNA (95 nucleotides) under Achromobacter sp. T5-5. Its description in RNAcentral is "tRNA-SeC". It matches the Rfam family "Selenocysteine transfer RNA". RNAcentral also lists the same sequence under 1 other name. The record is from RNAcentral. Lineage: Bacteria; Pseudomonadati; Pseudomonadota; Betaproteobacteria; Burkholderiales; Alcaligenaceae.
GGAAGGCAUCCGUGCCCGGCGGCACGGCCGGGCUUCAAACCCGGUUGGGGGCGUCAGACGUUCCCAGGUAGGUUCGACUCCUGCUGCCUUCCGCC